This is a long non-coding RNA of Sinocyclocheilus rhinocerous, 360 nucleotides long. RefSeq lists it as uncharacterized. The transcript is spliced from 3 exons. The record is from RefSeq and is a predicted model, not a curated record. NCBI's taxonomy places the organism in Eukaryota, Metazoa, Chordata, Actinopteri, Cypriniformes, Cyprinidae.
ACCUUUCUCUUGGGCUAUGGAGGUGUCCAGUGGACAGGGGUCAAAGGAAGUCAAGACGGCAUUGUAUCUCAGUGACAAGCCUCUAGUAGACCACAUUAGUUUUGACUUAGAUGUACCCCUAGAUGAGUCUGUGAAUGGAGAAAGUGAGAAGAUGUCUUACUACAGGACCAUGGUGAGCUGUAGUCUCAUCAGCUUCACUUAACACUGAUAGAGGCUGUAAGAUCAGCCUCCUGAUCAGCCCCAGAGAGGGAGGCUAGCAGAUGGGCACUCGUUUCAGGAUUCUGUUCCGUAAUCUGUCUUUUUAUAUGGUAUUUAACUUGACUGUUUAAUUCAGUUAAUUACACCACCUUUAAUACAUAG